This is a small nuclear RNA of 88 nucleotides. Its record names the gene U2. It matches the Rfam family "U2 spliceosomal RNA". Rfam says of the family: U2 is a small nuclear RNA (snRNA) component of the spliceosome (involved in pre-mRNA splicing). Complementary binding between U2 snRNA (in an area lying towards the 5' end but 3' to hairpin I) and the branchpoint sequence (BPS) of the intron results the bulging out of an unpaired adenosine, on the BPS, which initiates a nucleophilic attack at the intronic 5' splice site, thus starting the first of two transesterification reactions that mediate splicing. The record is from Ensembl.
AUCGCUUCUCGGCCUUUUGGCUAAGAUCAAGUGUAGUAUGUAGUUCAGUAAAGCUUUUGUGAAUAGAAUCUUUUGUCCAACACAUCUU